Long non-coding RNA from Chelonoidis abingdonii (Abingdon island giant tortoise), 767 nucleotides. RefSeq lists it as uncharacterized. The record is from RefSeq and is a predicted model, not a curated record. NCBI's taxonomy places the organism in Eukaryota, Metazoa, Chordata, Testudines, Testudinidae.
UGGAUGUAUCCAUAUAAGUUAGCAGCUUGAAGGGAGAUUCCAGCUAUCACAAGAGCCUGCAGAAGUUGGCCCAAUAAAAGUUGAGACUUCAAUUCCAGUUCCAUGGCAGAUCUGAAAACUAAGAGAUGUGACUUCAUAAGGUAUGCUUUUGUCCAGCAGUGUUCCUGGAACAUGAUGCCUAUCGUAGAGCAUUUAUACUUGGCCUGCAGAGUGAGUCACUCUCCAAAACUACACAAGGAGCACCAGAAGAGGCUGCAAACCUUAUUGCCUCAAGAAGCUCUGACUGCAAAACCUCCUGGAUCAUACUCAUCCAAUGGGUCCUGCAUCUAAGGUGAAAAGGCCAGAGUCAGCUUCUGACACCUUGGAGAGUGAGAAGAUGAAAAAUACUAUACAUAAGGUUCUGAUCUCUGCCCCAGGAUAUGAAUCUAAGACCUCAGUGCAGCCAGUGCCCAGAUCACCUGAUCUAAACAUUAAGUGCUCAGACAGUCGAUGCUGAACUCUGAAAAAUCUUGAUAUUGGUCUACUUUGGUUCUGAGAAAUACAGUGCAAGACAAGGAAACUCCUGUUAGCAGGGCCAAAUCCUAUUCAGGAGACUCCUCCAAUCUGUCAGAUCUGGAUCAAAACAUCAGUUCCUAAAUCAAAGACUAAGAUUUCAGAUCACUUCAAAUCUGAAGAUUAUUCCAGAACUGGCAGUUAUUUCUACACUGUCUAUCUGCACUGCACCAACCUUUACUGUGGAAGCCCAAAUGCACUGCACGGAUCCACAA